RNAcentral lists this ribosomal RNA (487 nucleotides) under uncultured bacterium. Its description in RNAcentral is "bacterial SSU rRNA". It matches the Rfam family "Bacterial small subunit ribosomal RNA", at positions 28 to 526 of the family's 1533-position model. The record is from RNAcentral.
GACGAACGCUGGCGGCGUGCUUAACACAUGCAAGUCGAACGGUGACGCCAGAGCUUGCUCUGGUUGAUCAGUGGCGAACGGGUGAGUAACACGUGAGUAACCUGCCCUUGACUCUGGGAUAACUCCGGGAAACCGGGGCUAAUACCGGAUACGAGACGCGGCCGCAUGGUCGGCGUCUGGAAAGUUUUUCGGUCAAGGAUGGACUCGCGGCCUAUCAGCUUGUUGGUGAGGUAAUGGCUCACCAAGGCGUCGACGGGUAGCCGGCCUGAGAGGGCGACCGGCCACACUGGGACUGAGACACGGCCCAGACUCCUACGGGAGGCAGCAGUGGGGAAUAUUGCACAAUGGGCGAAAGCCUGAUGCAGCGACGCCGCGUGAGGGAUGAAGGCCUUCGGGUUGUAAACCUCUUUCAGUAGGGAAGAAGCGAAAGUGACGGUACCUGCAGAAGAAGCGCCGGCUAACUACGUGCCAGCAGCCGCCGUAACAC